This 74-nucleotide transfer RNA is filed under the name Candidatus Rehaiarchaeum fermentans. Its description in RNAcentral is "tRNA-Pro". It matches the Rfam family "tRNA". From Rfam's summary of the family: Transfer RNA (tRNA) molecules are approximately 80 nucleotides in length. Their secondary structure includes four short double-helical elements and three loops (D, anti-codon, and T loops). The record is from RNAcentral. Lineage: Archaea; Nanobdellati; Candidatus Parvarchaeota.
GGGGCGAUGGUCUAACCAGGCAUGACGCCAGCCUCGGGCGCUGGUGAUUGUGGGUUCAAAUCCCACUCGCCCCA